UACAGAGGUCCCAAGCGUUGUUCGGAUUCACUGGGCGUAAAGGGUGCGUAGGCGGUCGGGUAAGUCUGGCGUGAAAUCUCCAAGCCUAACUUGGAAACUGCGUUGGAUACUAUCCGGCUCGAGGAAUGGAGGGGUGACUGGAAUACUUGGUGUAGCAGUGAAAUGCGUAGAUAUCAAGUGGAACACCAGUGGCGAAGGCGAGUCUCUGGACAUUUCCUGACGCUGAGGCACGAAAGCCAGGGGAGCAAACGGG
RNAcentral lists this ribosomal RNA (253 nucleotides) under uncultured bacterium. Its description in RNAcentral is "partial 16S ribosomal RNA". It matches the Rfam family "Bacterial small subunit ribosomal RNA", at positions 524 to 776 of the family's 1533-position model. The record is from RNAcentral.